Molecule: long non-coding RNA, 375 nt
Filed under: Mytilus galloprovincialis (Mediterranean mussel)
Lineage: Eukaryota; Metazoa; Mollusca; Bivalvia; Mytilida; Mytilidae
Source: RNAcentral
GCGCUACUUUUUCCUUAUUCGUUACUUUUCUCUUAUUCGUUACUUUUCUCUUAUUCGUUACUUAUUCCUUAUUCGUUACUUAUUCCUUAUUCGUUACUUAUUCCUUAUUCCUUAUUAGUUAUCUAUUCGUUACUUAUUCCUUAUUCCUUAUUCGUUACUUAUUCGAUUUUUAAUAUCUUUCUCCCUUUUUAAUUCUUUGUAUUCUUAUAUCUGGUAAUAGUUUUUAUUUUGUUGAGGUGAUAGUACCCUUUAAACACGUUAAUAUGUAUUCGUUUUUUAUGCUCAACCUAUCCUGUUAUUUGGGUUUUUUUUCGUUCAACCUUUUAACUGCUUUAUUUUCGUAUAUCUGUAGUUGGUUCUUGGUUCGAAGAGGGG